This 443-nucleotide long non-coding RNA is filed under the name Lathyrus oleraceus (garden pea). RNAcentral's name for it is "Pisum sativum (pea) long non-coding RNA (PSAT_LNC011357)". Lineage: Eukaryota; Viridiplantae; Streptophyta; Magnoliopsida; Fabales; Fabaceae. The record is from RNAcentral.
AAUGGAUAAAGACUCGGAAUGACACGUUGAGCCCAGCUGAAGGAAAGGGCUGACAGUUACCUGGCAUGGGGCAGUUGUACCCAGUGAACGAAGCAUGUUGUUAACCAAGAAGUGUGACCUCGCGCGUACCACGUGGAAGAAUUGGUUGAAAAGGAUCCUUCCUCCUCAAGACGAUUGUGGGGCAAAUGGACAAACAGUUAUGAAUGUCCAUUCGUGGUCAAGAGGGUCCCAUCUGACAGAACCUUGUUGUUUAUGACCACGGAUGACGACGAUUUUCCAUUCCCUGUGAAUGCGGACGCAGUUAGAAAAUACUUCGUGAAAGAAACCCGCUGGACACAAAAAAAAAAGAAUAAAGAGUCCAGGCAAAAAAUGGGCAUCCCGGCGAACCAAGAAAAAGAGAAAGGUUCGGGCAAAAGUUAGGGAUAAAAAUAAAAGAAAAGAAC